CCACCACUAAGCCAGUGGUGAACUCCACAUACGCAUCCUUUGCUGAGGAUACGGUUAACGGAGCGAAAGCGACGUUCAACCUCAAAAGAAGCAGAGGGGGCUUAGUGGUGGGGUGACUGCGUACCUUUUGUAUAAUGGGUCAGCGACUUAUAUUCUGUAGCAAGGUUAACCGAAUAGGGGAGCCGGAGGGAAACCGAGUCUUAAUUGGGCGUUAAGUUGCAGGGUAUAGACCCGAAACCCGGUGAUCUAGCCAUGGGCAGGUUGAAGGUUGGGUAACACUAACUGGAGGACCGAACCGACUAAUGUUGAAAAAUUAGCGGAUGACCUGUGGCUGGGGGUGAAAGGCCAAUCAAACCGGGAGAUAGCUGGUUCUCCCCGAAAGCUAUUUAGGUAGCGCCUCGUGAAUUCAUCUCCGGGGGUAGAGCACUGUUUCGGCUAGGGGGCCAUCCCGGCUUACCAACCCGAUGCAAACUGCGAAUACCGGAGAAUGUUAUCACGGGAGACACACGGCGGGUGCUAACGUCCGUCGUGAAGAGGGAAACAACCCAGACCGCCAGCUAAGGUCCCAAAGUCAUGGUUAAGUGGGAAACGAUGUGGGAAGGCCCAGACAGCCAGGAUGUUGGCUUAGAAGCAGCCAUCAUUUAAAGAAAGCGUAAUAGCUCACUGGUCGAGUCGGCCUGCGCGGAAGAUGUAACGGGGCUAAACCAUGCACCGAAGCUGCGGCAGCGAACGUAUCACUUAAAGCGAUUCAGCGGAUGACGGUUGACGGAGCGAAGCGACGUCAAAGCGUAUACAAAGUCGAGUCGGUUUAAGGAUACGUUCGUUGGGUAGGGGAGCGUUCUGUAAGCCUGUGAAGGUGUGCUGUGAGGCAUG
Molecule: ribosomal RNA, 873 nt
Filed under: Salmonella enterica subsp. enterica serovar Give
Lineage: Bacteria; Pseudomonadati; Pseudomonadota; Gammaproteobacteria; Enterobacterales; Enterobacteriaceae
Description: partial 23S ribosomal RNA
Rfam family: Bacterial large subunit ribosomal RNA (bases 89-873)
Source: RNAcentral